RNAcentral lists this non-coding RNA (414 nucleotides) under Pongo abelii (Sumatran orangutan). The record is from RNAcentral. Lineage: Eukaryota; Metazoa; Chordata; Mammalia; Primates; Hominidae.
CCAGCCAGAGAAGAGAAAUCUGAGUUUAACCCCAUCCUGUCAGAAGACGGGGAGGAAACAGCUCCAGCGGACAGGGCUCCCAGGCCCCUCCAGGACGAGGUUGGAGGACCAAGCGCAGCAGGAACAGAGGUGCAGAGAAUGGCGUCCAGGCCUCCUUAAGGACUCUGGAUCCAUGAGACGGGAAGCCCCACAGGGAAGCAGUGGCCCCCCGCCCCCCAUCUCAUCACAUACAGCACUCUGUACCUUCUGCUAAUUUUCUGUAAACCUAAAACUGCUCUAAACAAUGAAGUCCACCACGCAGAAACUGCACACGGAUGUUUAGAGCAGCUUUACUGGUAACUGCCAACACUCAGAAGCAACCAAGAUGUUCUCCAACAGGUGAAUAAAUAAAUAAACUGUGAUACACCUAAAUAA